Molecule: small RNA, 340 nt
Filed under: Fukomys damarensis (Damara mole-rat)
Lineage: Eukaryota; Metazoa; Chordata; Mammalia; Rodentia; Bathyergidae
Description: sRNA (ENSFDAG00000003023.1)
Source: RNAcentral
UCUGCUGUUUAAACUUUCAGAUGAUUCCUAACUGGAUCAGAGUCCUCAACCAGCAGGCUGAAGAAAAACCAGGUCAUGCUGCAUGUUUUUGGUGAGCACAGGAAUCAACAAAGAGAUGUUAUAUAACCUCUAUUUAUAUCCUCCUUGCUCACUAUCUGCAGGCAGACAAGAGUCUCUGUGCAGGGAUUUAAUGAGCUCUCUGGGUUUGCUCACCUUCCUGAGCUGGUAGGAACCAGCUUGUUCUCAAAUGCGUCAGUAAGGAAUCUGGCUGUGGGUGGGCGGCCAGGGUAGGUGGACUGAGUAGUUACCAUGGUGUUUUUCUAAUUCCCCUGUCUCUCAA